CAGCCGCCACGGGAAUACGGAGGGUGCAAGCGUUAAUCGGAAUUACUGGGCGUAAAGCGCACGCAGGCGGUCUGACAAGUCAGAUGUGAAAUCCCCGGGCUUAACCUGGGAACUGCAUUUGAAACUGUCAGGCUGGAGUCUUGUAGAGGGGGGUGGAAUUCCAGGUGUAGCGGUGAAAUGCGUAAAGAUCUGGAGGAAUACCGGUGGCGAAGGCGGCCCCCUGGACAAAGACUGACGCUCAGGUGCGAAAGCGUGGGGAGCAAACAGGAUUAGAUACCCCGGUAGUCCCUGUCUCUUAUAC
Molecule: ribosomal RNA, 301 nt
Filed under: uncultured bacterium
Lineage: Bacteria
Description: partial 16S ribosomal RNA
Rfam family: Bacterial small subunit ribosomal RNA
Source: RNAcentral